RNAcentral lists this transfer RNA (84 nucleotides) under Tigriopus californicus. RNAcentral describes it as "tRNA-Leu for anticodon CAG". It matches the Rfam family "tRNA". From Rfam's summary of the family: Transfer RNA (tRNA) molecules are approximately 80 nucleotides in length. The record is from Rfam by way of RNAcentral. Lineage: Eukaryota; Metazoa; Arthropoda; Copepoda; Harpacticoida; Harpacticidae.
GUCAGGAUGGCCGAGUGGUCUAAGGUGAGGCGUUCAGGUUGCAGUCUCCUUCUGAAGUUGUGGGUUUGAAUCCCACUUCUGACA